This 6679-nucleotide long non-coding RNA is filed under the name Jatropha curcas. RNAcentral describes it as "long non-coding RNA (JCUR_LNC003351)". The record is from RNAcentral. Lineage: Eukaryota; Viridiplantae; Streptophyta; Magnoliopsida; Malpighiales; Euphorbiaceae.
GAAACCUUAUCCUCUCCAAACCUCUCCAAAUAAUUCCUGAAAUCAUCUUUAAAAGGACCUUCUUGCCUUCUAACAUGAGAAGGGUUCACUUGGUGAAAUACAGGUAGCACCCGUCUCCGCAACUCGCAAAUUCUAGAAAGAGCCUCAAGGCGGCAACAAGAAUUAGCAUAACUUGGAGAAAAAAUUACGAUUGAAGCGGCCGAGUCUUCAAUGGCCUCUAUCAAACUUAAAUCGAUCUCGUCUUCCUCACUAAUCCCGAUGUCUUCCUGGACGAACCGGACGCCGUGCUCCGUUAAUGAAUCGCAUAGAUGCUUGAUUAAGCUGCGGCUCGUGUCCUUGCCGUUGAAACUCAAGAACACGUCGCAAUUGAAUCUCGGAGCCGCGGGAUACGUCGAAGGAACGUCGUUAUCAUGCAUUCUUGGAUCGCUGCGAGUUGCACAAACAGUGGCAAGAGUUCUUGACUUCGACUUUGCUUUUGUUUGUUUAUACUCAAGUCACAAGAUCCUGUUUUGGCUGCAUUACUGUUUAGGCGAUAAAAAAUAUUUUCAAAAAUUAAUUUGAUAAUUCAUUAUGUAAUUUUCUUACCUUCUUUCCACGAAAAUUCAAUUCAAUCUCAAUUUAUUAAAAUAUUUGCAAAAAGAAAAUUGUGGAAGUUUCUUUUUUACGGCAGACUUCUGAAAAAAAAUAAAAAACGUAAAACCAUAAAACUAGAAUUAACGAACUCAUAUGCUUAAUUCCAAUAGUAUAAAAAAGGUAAACGGACAUAUAAAUCUCCACAUUUUAUUAAAAAACGCUUUGAGCAGAUUAAAAGUAUCAUUUUAUCAAGCCACAGAUCAAUAAGCUAUGAAAUAGAAAAAAGUUAAAGAGUUAUAAAUUCUAAUAUUCAUUCCAAGGAUCCAAUAAAUUUGGCCAGUUUCCAUGAUACAGACCGCUGAGAUUCAUCUAGUAACUCUUCAUCAUCAUCAUCAUCAUCAUCAUUUUCAAAAAUCAAAUAUAUUCCAUACUUCUUCAAUCUAACCCCAUUAAAAUAGGGUCUCUCUCGUACAGUUAUCUGUAUUCUAUCACCUUCAUUCAGCAUAAAGACCAGCGGUUGGAACUCCAGAAACCGACACAAGUAAAGUUGAUCCUCAUUUGUGUUAGGAACUCCCCUUAAAUUAAGUGUUUUGGUAAAUAUUGGGUCCUUAAGUCUGAAGAUCUUUGCUUGAAUGUCUACUAUAGCUGGUAGCUUAUCUCUAAAGUCAUCCCUUGAUUGUUGGUCAAGGGAAAGAACAAUACCUAUAAUUAUGCCUUUGAGGUCUAGGUUUCUAGGCGUUGAGAAUCUGGGAAUUUCCUGAACAAACCAAUCAGGAAGUGCUCUUCCUGGAAUGCUCAAAUUGAACAAGCGUUUCAAAGCAACCUGCAAUGAGGGAAAGACGAGAACUUAAGAAAAAGAAUCACUCUCAUAGUUGACUAAUGGAGCUGUUUCUAUCCAUAUACAGAGCGUUUUUGACAUUGAGGUAGAAUUUUUAUGUUGGAAAAAACAUUUGAAGCAAUGUUGAGUUGUUUCAAAAUUUUUAUGACAGGAACACAUAAAAAGUUUACCUUAAAGGGAAAUUUUAAUGACGUUUAAUCAACAGUUUUGGAAUGUUUGUUUUUUUUCAGCAAUAGUCUAAACAACAUGCCAAACAGACUACAUCGAGAGAAGUAAAAUGGCAUUCAUGUGCAUCGUGUGUCUAUGUGGAGAGAGAGAGAGAGAGAACCUUAGCAAGUCUUCGCUUGAUUGCCGGAGAACAUGCAAUGCAGCCAGUCAAGUAUAACCUCCUCAGACACUUCAAGCAUUCAAGGCCUUGGAUAUCAAUUAUUCUACUGCAAUUUGUUAGGUCAAGAUCUUGUAAACUCACUAAGUUUUCCAGAUUGCAAACACCUUCCAGUGCAGUACAAUAUGCAACAUUUAACUUGAGCACACUUGAAGGAAGCAAAGGAAGAGACUUGAGCUGUUUGCAGUGAGACAAGCUUAGAUCUUCGAGAACUGAAAGGCCUCUUAGACUAGAUGGAAGACUACAGAAGUCAUUGUGGCUCAGAUUCAAUUCUCGCAACGAUGAUAUCUUCCCAAAUUCAUCUGGAAUUUCACCAGAGAAUUUCCAGGCACAAGCAUCCAGUACUUCAAUUAAGGAGAGAUUUGACAAUGACUCUGGAAAAAGAGAGGCGGUGUUCAGUGGUUGAGAGUGUGGACUUUUUCCCAUUUUCAAUAUUGAUAAGCUUGACAACAUUCCAAUUUCAUCUGGCAAUUCUGAGACAGAAGUUUCUUUCAUCAGAAAGCACUGCAGACUUUUUAAAUUUCCAAUUGAGGCCGGCAGUCGUUGGAGUUGCUUGCACCCAUUUAAAUUUAACAUGCUAAGUCUUUCCGACGUUCCUAUGGACUCUGGCAACUCUGUAAUCAUCACAUCAUUCAAGACCAAAGUAGUUAUGCUCCACAUCUUCCCAAUUGAUUCUGGUAAAAAUUUAACCGAUGCACAGUUUCCCAUGUAAAGCUUCUCCAGCAUGCUCAAGGCUCCAACCUCAUCUGGUAUUUCUGUCAGAUAUGUGUUUUCUAAACGAAGUUCAACCAGGGAUGCUAAACCUCCAAUUGAAUCGGGCAAUUUGGUUAGAGAUUGACAAUUACCAAAGGACAAUCUCUUCAAACGAGAUAAUAAACCAACUGAAGUUGGCAAUUCUUUAAUAGAACUACCAUCAAGGAGGAGUUCAAUUAAUGAUUUAAGGUUGCUGAUAGAAUCAGGAAGUGCAUUAAGCGAUUUACACCUCAUGAGAUUCAGUUUUUCAAGGGAUGGCAGUGAUCCUACUGAAUUAGGUAUUUCUUCCACUCCUGAACCAGCAAAAGAAAGUUCUUCUAGUGAACUUAGAUUCCCUAUGUGUACAGGAACAUGUUUCAAUAGCCAACACUGUUGUAGGCUGAACCUUUCAAGUUUUUUUAGGUGGAAUAUGGAAUCAGGUAGUGUAACUAUUGCUGUCUCAUCAAUAAGAAGCUCCCUCAAACAUUUCAUGCUGCUCAUAUCGGGUAAUUUUUUUAUGUUUGAGCAACCAGAGAGAUUAAGUAUCUCAAGAUGCUUUAAUCCAGAGACAUCACUUGGAAAUUCAACAAUAUUUGAGCAUCCUCUCAAGUUCAAGUGAAGCAAUCUCUUCAAAUUCCCCACUGAUUUGUCAAUCUUAGUCAACUGACCGCAACGCUCAAGAUUCAGCUUUUCCAAGGAUUUACACCCGGAUAAAUCAGGAACAGCCACUAGACUGUAGCAACCCUGAAGAUUCAUCACCACCAAGUUCUCAGCCACCUGCAAACAAAAAUUUCUUCUGCCUUGAAAAAGAAGCAAUCAUAUGUUCAAAAAAAAGGAUAAAAAAGCACCAUCAAGGGUUGAAACUUUGCAAAAAGUUUCACAGUAAGGACAAACUUUUUAAAUGUUAUCAAAUAAAUGCAAUUAUCAGAAAAAUAGAAAAGUCAUAUUUCAAGAAAUGCCCACUUGGUCAUGGCAGAAACCACGCAUCGUGUUAGCAAACAUUUUAUUCGUACAUUCUUAUAAUGAACCAGGCUGGUAAAGCAUACCUUGUUGCUACCCCAAACCCAUACUCGUUCAAUUCCACUCUCUGAGAGAUCGAGAACAGUAAGUUUACGGGGAAAAUAAUCAUAAGGGAGAUAUUUCAAAGGACAUCCUCUCCAUUGAAGCCACUUCAGCCCUGCAGGGAUACAUUUAAACUUCCCUUCCAAUGUUGCACGAUUGAUUUGAAGCAGUCUCAGAUUAACCAUUGAUUCGAAGAAUUCAGUACUGAGUUUUGGCUCUUUCUUUUUGUCCUCUCCAUGUAGAAGACACAAAAGAAUUCUCUUGCAUAUUUCUUUCACAUAAACAAGCGCAGAAUCAAGAUUUGGUGUUGUUAGGAAGUUAUUACGGAAUGUUGCAUCAGCACUAAGAUCCUCCACUGUUUUCUUCUUACUGAAGUCAAGGAUAAUUCCUUGUACAUAUUUCGUUCCCUGAAUUCAGUCAUAUGCAGGAAAAUAUUGAUAAAUUAAGCGAGGAAAACAUGUAAAAAUAAAUAAAAAUUAGCUUUUUUCCCAAUUUAAAUAUUUACAGAAUUGGCCAAGGAAUAAGAAAACUUCAACUAAAGUUAUGUUAUCAGACCCCGCAUUUGGCUUCAAAAUACAUAGAAGAACAUGCCAGUUUAAAAACACAACAUUGAUUCAUCAUUAAUGGUACCAUGCACAUUCUUGUUUAAACCUUCCAAUCCAGAUUAUGCUAUAAUGCUGAAGAACAUCAAAACAUACGCUAUUAUGCAUUUUACAUUUUGAGUAGCUUGUUUCAUUCUCUCCAACUUUUCCUUGCUGCCUUUCAUUCAAUGAAAGAGGUAAGUAUGUGAAUGUGGUAGCAACUUUUACUCGAGUGUUACAUAGAAAACACAAAAGCAUGUGCAACAAACUCAAAGAAAUGGCAAACAUAUUAAAUUUCUUUUGUUUCUAAAAACAAUCCUUCAUGGGGGAUUUUAAAAGUCGAGAAAAAAAAAAAGAAAAAAAGAAUAGGUAACAUUUUUCACAAGUUAAUCUAUGAUGAUUUGCACCUUCUUCUGCUUCAGUACUGUCAUGAUUUCAUUGUGAUCCCAGAGUCUACUACGCAUACCAGGAUCUAAAAGGUUUUCAAGUUGAACAAUUUGCCGUCCCAUGUCUCUAAGUUGGUCAUGCAUCCACAAUGAAUAAUCUUCAGUAUCCUUAAUGAGAGAUUUUGCUGUUAGAACAGUUAUUGCUGCUUCAGCAUUAAAACCACAACCCUUUAAUAUGUCAACUGCUUCUUCUCUCUUCAUUCCAAUGUUAACAAAAAAACAUGCAAUGUCAAGGAAUACGUGCUUUUCUUCUUCAUCUAGACCAUCGAAACUUAUCCUGAGUACAUCUUGAAGGUUAUAUGGUCGAAUAUGUUGCAACUUUUUCAGGGCAUUUUCCCAUUCUUCUAUCCUCCUCAUAUGGAACAAAUAAGAACCAAACACUUCCAAAGCCAAAGGUAGUCCUCCAGUGAGAGAGACAAUUUGCUUAGACAGAUCUUCAUAGCCAUCAAUAGGUUUUUCUCUUCUUAGCGAAUGAUAACUAAAAAGUUGCAAGGCAUUUGCAGAAUCCAGCACUUUAACCUCAUAAAACUCAUCAACAAGAUAUUCAACCAAAACUUCUUUAUUUCUUGCUGUAAUAAUAAUUCGACUUCCAUCUCCGAACCAAUCUUUAUUUCCUGCAAGUGCAUUGAGUUGGCUUACCUCAUUCACAUCAUCUAAUACCAUUAGCACUCGCUUCUCAUGAAGCAUCUGUUUGAUUGCAGUGAUACCAGAACCAAUUUCAUCCGCAGAAGCCACCACAUUGGAAGAAAGGUCACGAAGGAUUUUUUUUUGAAGUGAUGUCAAGCCAUCAUGUUCUUCAGAAACUUCUCUAACGUUUAAAAUGAAACAGCGGUAUUCAAAAUGACUGAUAAGCUUAUUGUAGAGAACUUUGGCGAGAGUUGUUUUACCAAUCCCACCCAUUCCAUGAAGUCCCAGAACUUUUAUUUGAUUAGAUUUAACAUUUAACUUUCUCAUCAGCUCAUCUGCCCGAGCAUCAACUGCAACUGUAUAUGCAGCUAUUCCCACUGUUUUUCUCAAUUCCGUCAAAACCCUACUGACUAACUGCUUAAUCAAAUGCUGUUCUUUGCUGUCAGUAAAUGGAAUAAUGAGGAAUGAACACAUUAAUAUACAUAACAUAUAGAGAUAUGAAAUCAGAAAGAAUGCGACAAUCUUCUUAAGAUUAGAUAUUUUUCAUCUAUUUAUAGGCAAAGAACUAAUCAUACAAAGCUAGAAGUGAAUGGACUGAGCAUGCCAUAGAAAACAAAGACAGAAUUACAAGGAAGAAGACCUAGCUUGUACUUUGGUUUUGCAUUGCCUAGUAAAAGACCGAGUACUUGAUCAUUAGCCCUAACAAGUAACACCAACUCCAACUUGAAUGAAACAAAACAAAAAAAAAAAAACAAAAAAAAAAAAAAGGGUUGAUAUUGAUAUCACCACAAAACUACAAUUAACUACAUCAGAUGCUUUAAUGGGGAAAAAAAAUCAAGAUAGAGACUAAUCUCGACAUCUUAUUAUAAAAACCUUAGAGCAGUCACAUGGGAAUGAAACUUCCACUUCAACUUAAAAUUCCCCAACUAAGUAUUAAUAUAUCCAGCCACAAAACAAAAAGCUUUUAGACAAUUGCAAAAUGCCAUUCUUCAAGAUACUGCCGCCACCUGUUAAUUAAUAUUUCUUAAGGAUCAUGGUUAAGAAAUUUCUAUAUCCAAAAUUAUUAAGCUUUACCUCUUUCUGACAACUGAACUAACAUAAAAUGAAUAAAGAAAUAUUUUUUUAAAUAAAAAAAUAAAAGGAAAAGAAAAACCUGCUAUUGUCAAUAACGAAGCCUGAAAGGCCACCAACUUUCUUCAUCGCUCUUCUCCAUUUCGAAACCUUAUCCUCUCCAAACCUCUCCAAAUAAUUCCUGAAAUCAUCUUCAAAAGGACCUUCUUGCCUUCUAACAUGAGAAGGGUUCACUCGGUGAAAUACAGGUAGCACCCGUCUCCGCAACUCGCAGAUUCUAGAAAGAGCCUCAAGGCGGCAACAAGAAUUAGCAUAACUUGGAGAAAUAAUUACGAUUGAAGCGGCCGAGUCUUCAAUGGCCUCU